This 973-nucleotide ribosomal RNA is filed under the name fungal endophyte. RNAcentral describes it as "eukaryotic LSU rRNA". The stretch from base 213 to 366 matches the Rfam family "5.8S ribosomal RNA". Lineage: Eukaryota; Fungi. The record is from RNAcentral.
UGUUUUCUUUUUCAUUGAGGUGCGGUCGCGGCCCUCGGCGGGAGCAACAGCUGCCGUCGGGCGGUAGAGGUAACACUUUCACGCGCCGCAUGUCUGAAUCCUUUUUUUACGAGCACCUUUCGUUCUCCUUCGGCGGGGCAACCUGCCGUUGGAACCUAUCAAAACCUUUUUUUGCAUCUAGCAUUACCUGUUCUGAUACAAACAAUCGUUACAACUUUCAACAAUGGAUCUCUUGGCUCUGGCAUCGAUGAAGAACGCAGCGAAAUGCGAUAAGUAGUGUGAAUUGCAGAAUUCAGUGAAUCAUCGAAUCUUUGAACGCACAUUGCGCCCCUUCCUAUUCCAGUGGGCAUGCCUGUUCGAGCGUCAUCUACACCCUCAAGCUCUGCUUGGUGUUGGGCGUCUGUCCCGCCUCUGCGCGCGGACUCGCCCCAAAUGCAUUGGCAGCGGUCCUUGCCUCCUCUCGCGCAGCACAUUGCGCUUCUCGAGGUGCGCGGGCCGCGUCCACGAAGCAACAUUACCGUCUUUGACCUCGGAUCAGGUAGGGAUACCCGCUGAACUUAAGCAUAUCAAUAGGCCGGAGGAAUCAUAUUCUAUUCAUGAGGUGCGGUCGCGGCCCUGGCGGAGCAACGCUGCGUGGGCGGUAGAGGUAACACUUUCGGCGCAUGUCUGAAUCUUUUUUUACGAGCACUUUGUUCUCUUCGGCGGGGCAACUGCGUUGGAACUAUCAAACUUUUUUUUGCAUCUGCAUUACUGUUCGAUAAAACAAUCUUCACUUUCACAAGGGAUCUCUUGGCUCGGCAUGAUGAAGAAGCGGAAAAGCAUAAGUGUGUGAAUUGCAGAAAUUCGUGAAUCAUCAAUCUUUUGAACGCAUCUCGGGUUAUUCAUGGGGCAUGCUAUUCAGCGCUUACUCAACCUGCUUGGGUGUGGGGGUGUCCCUCUGCGCGAAUCCCCAAUACAUUGGGAGGAUUCCUUG